UAACAAGAUUUUUUAAAAUCCAUAAAUGUAAACAGAGAAAAUGUUU
This is a non-coding RNA of Camelus ferus (Wild Bactrian camel), 46 nucleotides long. The record is from Rfam. NCBI's taxonomy places the organism in Eukaryota, Metazoa, Chordata, Mammalia, Artiodactyla, Camelidae.